AUACGGAGGAUGCAAGCGUUAUCCGGAUUUAUUGGGUUUAAAGGGUGCGUAGGCGGUUUGUCAAGUCAGCGGUGAAACGCAAGGGCUUAACCCUUGACCUGCCGUUGAAACUGGCGGACUUGAAUGCGGAUGCUGUGGGAGGAAUGUGAGGUGUAGCGGUGAAAUGCAUAGAUAUCACACAGAACACCGAUUGCGAAGGCAUCUCACAAAUCCGUGAUUGACGCUGAGGCACGAAAGUUUGGGGAUCAAACAGGAUUAGAUACCCUGGUAGUCCACACUGUAAACGAUGAUGACUCGCUGUCGGCGAUAUACAGUCGGUGGCCAAGCGAAAGCGAUAAGUCAUCCACCUGGGGAGUACGACCGCAAGGUUGAAACUCAAAUGAAUUGACGGGG
This 393-nucleotide ribosomal RNA is filed under the name uncultured bacterium. RNAcentral describes it as "partial 16S ribosomal RNA". It matches the Rfam family "Bacterial small subunit ribosomal RNA", at positions 523 to 918 of the family's 1533-position model. The record is from RNAcentral.